AUUUAUAUAGUUUAAUUCUAAAACCUAUCAUUUUCAAUGAUAAAAUAAGUAUAUGUCUUUAUAAAUA
Molecule: transfer RNA, 67 nt
Filed under: Adrisa magna
Lineage: Eukaryota; Metazoa; Arthropoda; Insecta; Hemiptera; Cydnidae
Description: tRNA-Glu
Rfam family: tRNA
About the family: Transfer RNA (tRNA) molecules are approximately 80 nucleotides in length. Their secondary structure includes four short double-helical elements and three loops (D, anti-codon, and T loops).
Source: RNAcentral